Molecule: ribosomal RNA, 699 nt
Filed under: uncultured bacterium
Lineage: Bacteria
Description: bacterial SSU rRNA
Rfam family: Bacterial small subunit ribosomal RNA
Source: RNAcentral
AGGAGUUUGAUCCUGGCUCAGAUUGAACGCUGGCGGCAUGCCUAACACAUGCAAGUCGAACGGUAACAGGCAAAAGCUUGCUUUUGCGCUGACGAGUGGCGAACGGGUGAGUAACGCGUAGGGAUCUGCCCUGAAGUGGGGGAUAACCCGGGGAAACCCGGACUAAUACCGCAUACGCUCUUCGGAGGAAAGAAUGGGACCUUCGGGCCAUUCACUUUAGGAUGAACCUGCGUCAGAUUAGCUUGUUGGUGGGGUAAAGGCCUACCAAGGCGAGGAUCUGUAGCUGGUCUGAGAGGACGAACAGCCACACUGGGACUGAGACACGGCCCAGACUCCUACGGGAGGCAGCAGUGGGGAAUAUUGGACAAUGGGCGAAAGCCUGAUCCAGCAAUGCCGCGUGUGUGAAGAAGGCCUGAGGGUUGUAAAGCACUUUCAGUGGGGAGGAAGGUUUUUUGUCGAAUAGGCAAAAGAUUUGACGUUACCCGCAGAAGAAGCACCGGCUAACUCUGUGCCAGCAGCCGCGGUAAUACAGAGGGUGCAAGCGUUAAUCGGAGUGACUGGGCGUAAAGGGCGUGUAGGUGGAUAGAUAAGUUAUGUGUGAAAUAUCCGGGCUUAACCUGGAGGGGUCAUGUGAUACUGUCUGUCUAGAGUAGAGUAGAGGGAAGUAGAAUUUCCGGUGUAGCGGUGAAAUGCGUAGAG